UGGGGAAUAUUGCACAAUGGAGGGAACUCUGAUGCAGCGACGCCGCGUGAAGGAAGAAGGUUUUCGGAUUGUAAACUUCUAUCAGCAGGGACGAAAAUGACGGUACCUGACUAAGAAGCCCCGGCUAACUACGUGCCAGCAGCCGCGGUAAUACGUAGGGGGCAAGCGUUAUCCGGAAUUACUGGGUGUAAAGGGUGCGUAGGCGGUAAUGUAAGUCAGGUGUGAAAGCCCGAGGCUCAACUUCGGGAUUGCACUUGAAACUACAUAACUAGAGUACAGGAGAGGUGAGUGGAAUUCCUAGUGUAGCGGUGAAAUGCGUAGAUAUUAGGAGGAACACCAGUGGCGAAGGCGACUCACUGGACUGUAACUGACGCUGAGGCACGAAAGCGUGGGGAGCGAACAGG
This 404-nucleotide ribosomal RNA is filed under the name uncultured prokaryote. RNAcentral describes it as "bacterial SSU rRNA". It matches the Rfam family "Bacterial small subunit ribosomal RNA", at positions 355 to 776 of the family's 1533-position model. The record is from RNAcentral. RNAcentral also lists the same sequence under 1 other name.